CCUUCCAGUGGCAUGGAGCAUUGUGUGACCAUUUUGGAGCAGGGAAGGAGCCUUUAUCAUCCAUUCUGUGCCACGAGAGGCUCCCACAGGUGCCCCCGCGGUAGCUGGGUGAGGACAGCAGCAGGAGCGCGUUUGUGUUCUGGCUUGUGCAGCCCCCACGUCACGAUGCUGCGCGGAAGGGGCUCGUGGCGGGGGACGGAAAAGCAGUGGCCCCUUCUCCGGCGGAGGAGGAACGAGAGGAGGGAUCCACAGGCAACCAGCCAGUUUUCAAGGCCCCAUCAGGCAUCUCCACUUGCUCCCGGGGGUCGGCAAGGAGAGGACUGAAGGUCAUCGCCAACUUGAACAUGCGGCUGCCGCUCUCCGAGUUGCCCCCGUGCCACUCUGUCUGGGUUUACAGGGAGCUGAUCCAAAUGGCCAGCAGGUUUUCUUGGGGUUUUUUUGCCUUUUUUUUUUCCCUGCACUGAUGAAAUCAGCACUUAAUAAAAUCACAUCAGGCCCA
Phalacrocorax carbo (great cormorant) is the source of this 499-nucleotide non-coding RNA. The record is from RefSeq and is a predicted model, not a curated record. Lineage: Eukaryota; Metazoa; Chordata; Aves; Suliformes; Phalacrocoracidae.